This 440-nucleotide ribosomal RNA is filed under the name uncultured bacterium. RNAcentral describes it as "partial 16S ribosomal RNA". It matches the Rfam family "Bacterial small subunit ribosomal RNA", at positions 338 to 795 of the family's 1533-position model. The record is from RNAcentral.
CCUACGGGAGGCAGCAGUAGGGAAUAUUGCUCAAUGGGGGAAACCCUGAAGCAGCAACGCCGCGUGGAGGAUGAAGGUUUUCGGAUUGUUAACUCCUUUUGUUAGAGAAGAUACUGACGGUAUCUAACGAAUAAGCACCGGCUAACUCCGUGCCAGCAGCCGCGGUAAUACGGCGGGUGCAAGCGUUACUCGGAAUCACUGGGCGUAAAGAGCGCGUAGGCGGGAUAGCAAGUCAGAUGUGAAAUCCUAUGGCUUAACCAUAGAACUGCAUUUGAAACUGUUAUUCUAGAGUAUGGGAGAGGUAGGUGGAAUUCUUGGUGUAGGGGUAAAAUCCGUAGAGAUCAAGAGGAAUACUCAUUGCGAAGGCGACCUGCUAGAACAUAACUGACGCUGAUGCGCGAAAGCGUGGGGAGCAAACAGGAUUAGAUACCCUUGUAGUC